UGCCAUGGGCGGCCGGGCGAGGGGAGCCUUGUGCUCGCCGGUGGCUCCAUCGGUCUUCCAACCCCCGUUUCGGUCGCCCACCCGA
Molecule: non-coding RNA, 85 nt
Filed under: Dechloromonas denitrificans
Lineage: Bacteria; Pseudomonadati; Pseudomonadota; Betaproteobacteria; Rhodocyclales; Azonexaceae
Source: RNAcentral